CAGCCGCCGCGGGAACACGAAGGGGGCUAGCGUUGCUCGGAAUUACUGGGCGUAAAGGGAGCGUAGGCGGACAUUUAAGUCAGGGGUGAAAUCCCAGAGCUCAACUCUGGAACUGCCUUUGAUACUGGGUGUCUUGAGUGUGAUAGAGGUAUGUGGAACUCCGAGUGUAGAGGUGAAAUUCGUAGAUAUUCGGAAGAACACCAGUGGCGAAGGCGACAUACUGGAUCAUUACUGACGCUGAGGCUCGAAAGCGUGGGGAGCAAACAGGAUUAGAUACCCGUGUAGUCCCUGUCUCUUAUAC
RNAcentral lists this ribosomal RNA (301 nucleotides) under uncultured bacterium. RNAcentral's name for it is "partial 16S ribosomal RNA". It matches the Rfam family "Bacterial small subunit ribosomal RNA", at positions 509 to 807 of the family's 1533-position model. The record is from RNAcentral.